Non-coding RNA from Sus scrofa (pig), 235 nucleotides. The record is from Rfam. Lineage: Eukaryota; Metazoa; Chordata; Mammalia; Artiodactyla; Suidae.
CUGAGGGUGAUCUGUCUCAGAGACUUUCACCCCAUUGCUCAUUGAGGUUAAUUGACUGACGAGCCAUGGGUCCCUCAUCUCCCCUCAAUGAGCAUCUGUCCCGAAGCUGCCAGCUUGGAGGAAGAGAACGCUUUCCCAGAAAUAGAAACGUUUACGCUUUCCCAGAAAUAGAAACAUUUUUGAUCAUAGAUCUACAACUUGUUAUUUUCAAACAAACCUUUUGGGUUUUUUCUUU